This 1005-nucleotide ribosomal RNA is filed under the name Salmonella enterica subsp. enterica serovar Lubbock. Its description in RNAcentral is "partial 23S ribosomal RNA". It matches the Rfam family "Bacterial large subunit ribosomal RNA", at positions 690 to 1693 of the family's 2925-position model. The record is from RNAcentral. Lineage: Bacteria; Pseudomonadati; Pseudomonadota; Gammaproteobacteria; Enterobacterales; Enterobacteriaceae.
GGGCGUUAAGUUGCAGGGUAUAGACCCGAAACCCGGUGAUCUAGCCAUGGGCAGGUUGAAGGUUGGGUAACACUAACUGGAGGACCGAACCGACUAAUGUUGAAAAAUUAGCGGAUGACCUGUGGCUGGGGGUGAAAGGCCAAUCAAACCGGGAGAUAGCUGGUUCUCCCCGAAAGCUAUUUAGGUAGCGCCUCGUGAAUUCAUCUCCGGGGGUAGAGCACUGUUUCGGCUAGGGGGCCAUCCCGGCUUACCAACCCGAUGCAAACUGCGAAUACCGGAGAAUGUUAUCACGGGAGACACACGGCGGGUGCUAACGUCCGUCGUGAAGAGGGAAACAACCCAGACCGCCAGCUAAGGUCCCAAAGUCAUGGUUAAGUGGGAAACGAUGUGGGAAGGCCCAGACAGCCAGGAUGUUGGCUUAGAAGCAGCCAUCAUUUAAAGAAAGCGUAAUAGCUCACUGGUCGAGUCGGCCUGCGCGGAAGAUGUAACGGGGCUAAACCAUGCACCGAAGCUGCGGCAGCGACACUGUGUGUUGUUGGGUAGGGGAGCGUUCUGUAAGCCUGUGAAGGUGGCCUGUGAGGGUUGCUGGAGGUAUCAGAAGUGCGAAUGCUGACAUAAGUAACGAUAAAGCGGGUGAAAAGCCCGCUCGCCGGAAGACCAAGGGUUCCUGUCCAACGUUAAUCGGGGCAGGGUGAGUCGACCCCUAAGGCGAGGCCGAAAGGCGUAGUCGAUGGGAAACGGGUUAAUAUUCCCGUACUUGGUGUUACUGCGAAGGGGGGACGGAGAAGGCUAUGUUGGCCGGGCGACGGUUGUCCCGGUUUAAGCGUGUAGGUGUGUGUUCCAGGUAAAUCCGGUUCACUUUAACACUGAGGCGUGACGACGAGGCACUACGGUGCUGAAGCAACAAAUGCCCUGCUUCCAGGAAAAGCCUCUAAGCAUCAGGUAACAUCAAAUCGUACCCCAAACCGACACAGGUGGUCAGGUAGAGAAUACCAAGGCGCUUGA